Pantherophis guttatus is the source of this 603-nucleotide long non-coding RNA. RefSeq lists it as uncharacterized. The record is from RefSeq and is a predicted model, not a curated record. Lineage: Eukaryota; Metazoa; Chordata; Lepidosauria; Squamata; Colubridae.
GAUAUAAUUGAAGAUAUUGGUUCAACCACAACUUGCAACUUUCUGUUGGCUUCCCAACGCAAAUCCAAUGGAAAAACCACCAGGAAACUACACUUUCCAGGCAACUCACAAACAGGCUAGAGGGCAGAAUGGAAAAGAAGAAUCCUGGAAAACGGACUUGAGUUUAUAGAGCAAAGCCAGAAAGUUAUACAUCAAGAGAAUACUGAAAAUGUUCCCAGGCUAGAAUGUCAGAAUAAUGUAUACAUUUCAGAGCUAGCUGCAUCAUAGUAGGUAACAGCUUCAUGCUAAGACAUUUUAUUGAAAAAUGUACCUCUUUUAGCAGCAACCUUUUUUUUAUUAUACUGAGAUUGAUCAAAAUACCCCAUUAAUGGCAAGAUGGAGCAAGGUGAAAUAGCAGCAGGAAAAAAAAAGAAAGCUGAAGUAGAUGCAUGGAAAAUAGUUAAUGACUUACUGCAAAAUGGGUCUUUGUCUGAAGUAUCAAAGUAAGCUGUUGUCAUGGGAAGAUUCUUUUCAAGUAAAUGAUCCUUCCAUUUAUCAGCAUAAUAUCCUGGAAUUGAAAUAUAUUAAAUACAAAAUAAACAAACAAAUGCAAAACAUACUAAA